This 465-nucleotide ribosomal RNA is filed under the name Vreelandella stevensii. Its description in RNAcentral is "partial 16S ribosomal RNA". It matches the Rfam family "Bacterial small subunit ribosomal RNA", at positions 338 to 795 of the family's 1533-position model. Lineage: Bacteria; Pseudomonadati; Pseudomonadota; Gammaproteobacteria; Oceanospirillales; Halomonadaceae. The record is from RNAcentral.
CCUACGGGGGGCUGCAGUGGGGAAUAUUGGACAAUGGGGGGAACCCUGAUCCAGCCAUGCCGCGUGUGUGAAGAAGGCCCUCGGGUUGUAAAGCACUUUCAGUGAGGAAGAACGCCUGGUGGUUAAUACCCAUCAGGAAAGACAUCACUCACAGAAGAAGCACCGGCUAACUCCGUGCCAGCAGCCGCGGUAAUACGGAGGGUGCGAGCGUUAAUCGGAAUUACUGGGCGUAAAGCGCGCGUAGGUGGCUUGAUAAGCCGGUUGUGAAAGCCCCGGGCUCAACCUGGGAACGGCAUCCGGAACUGUCAAGCUAGAGUGCAGGAGAGGAAGGUAGAAUUCCCGGUGUAGCGGCGAAAUGCGUAGAGAUCGGGAGGAAUACCAGUGGCGAAGGCGGCCUUCUGGACUGACACUGACACUGAGGUGCGAAAGCGUGGGUAGCAAACAGGAUUAGAUACCCCAGUAGUC